RNAcentral lists this ribosomal RNA (490 nucleotides) under uncultured bacterium. RNAcentral's name for it is "bacterial SSU rRNA". It matches the Rfam family "Bacterial small subunit ribosomal RNA", at positions 29 to 507 of the family's 1533-position model. The record is from RNAcentral.
AAUGAACGCUAGCUACAGGCUUAACACAUGCAAGUCGCGGGGCAGCAUGAACUUGGCUUGCCAGGUUCGAUGGCGACCGGCGCACGGGUGAGUAACGCGUAUCCAACCUGGCCCAUACCACGGGAUAGCCCGUCGAAAGGCGGAUUAAUACCGUAUGCUGUCAUUAAGAUGCAUUUUUUGAUGACGAAAGGACUGGCGGUAUGGGAUGGGGAUGCGUCUGAUUAGCUUGUUGGCGGGGUAACGGCCCACCAAGGCGACGAUCAGUAGGGGUUCUGAGAGGAAGGUCCCCCACAUUGGAACUGAGACACGGUCCAAACUCCUACGGGAGGCAGCAGUGAGGAAUAUUGGUCAAUGGGCGCAAGCCUGAACCAGCCAAGUAGCGUGAGGGAAGACUGCCCUACGGGUUGUAAACCUCUUUUGUUUGGGAAUAAAGUGCGGGACGCGUCCCGCACUUGCAUGUACCAUUUGAAUAAGACCGGCUAAUUCCGUG